GAUGAACGCUGGCGGCGUGCCUAAUACAUGCAAGUCGAGCGAACAGACGAGGAGCUUGCUCCUCUUACGUUAGCGGCGGACGGGUGAGUAACACGUGGAUAACCUACUUAUAAGACUGGGAUAACUUCGGGAAACCGGAGCUAAUACCGGAUAAUAUAUUGAACCGCAUGGUUCAAUAGUGAAAGACGGUUUUGCUGUCACUUAUAGAUGGAUCCCCGCCGCAUUAGCUAGUUGGUAAGGUAACGGCUUACCAAGGCAACGAUGCGUAGCCGACCUGAGAGGGUGAUCGGCCACACUGGAACUGAGACACGGUCCAGACUCCUACGGGAGGCAGCAGUAGGGAAUCUUCCGCAAUGGGCGAAAGCCUGACGGAGCAACGCCGCGUGAGUGAUGAAGGUCUUCGGAUCGUAAAACUCUGUUAUUAGGGAAGAACAAAUGUGUAAGUAACUAUGCACGUCUUGACGGUACCUAAUCAGAAAGCCACGGCUAACUACGUG
RNAcentral lists this ribosomal RNA (497 nucleotides) under uncultured bacterium. RNAcentral describes it as "partial 16S ribosomal RNA". It matches the Rfam family "Bacterial small subunit ribosomal RNA", at positions 28 to 507 of the family's 1533-position model. The record is from RNAcentral.